GGGAUAUUCUCAAACCUGGAAAUAGAUUAUAGCAUAUCACAACAGGUAGUAUUUACAUUCUGUUAUAUACAGUAAGUGGUAAUAGCUGGACGAAGAAAUGCAUAGAUGUUGCUGAGAUAAACAGUAUGAAUAAGGUAUGUUUUUACUAUGUAAUGUCAUAUAUCUUGUUUAGCACAACAAAUCAUAGCCAGCUGUGUUUCUAUUAGAGCCCGACCGAUAUGGGAGACAUAUAUACAUAUAUAGAGAGAUAUACAGAAUUCAGAUGAACAGAGACAAGUCUAUGCUCUCAUUUGUUUUAAUAAUGAAGAGUUAUUGAGGGAUAGUAGUUUUGUCUUCUGUCAAAUGAUCAGAGUAUCAUAAAAAUGUGAUUUUUUUCAUAGUAAAUAUUAUUUAAUGUCAUCUGUUUCUAUUGUAUUCUCUCCUGAUAGUGGCAGCCAUUUGGCAUUGAUGACAAUGUGCCAGUAUUAAAAUGGGAUUUUUUUUUUUUUUACCCUGCUUACAGGUACCCCAUCACAAACGACCAUUUCCCUCCAUUCCCACUAAUCCCAUUUUUUAGGGAGGUCAGCCUCACUGACAUGGAAGUAUUGGAAGUCCAACCUGCAUGGCCUAAUACUUGAAGCUUGACCUGGACUCACCUCUGAAAGUCUUCAGGCUCAGAUUCAAGAGCUUCUUGGGGCAGUGAAGCAAAGCGCGUGAGCUUUUUUGCCACAGAUUGAGCAUCCUCAGGUUUCUCAGCCCCUUUGUGCUGGACCAGGGUGGGUGUUUUCUCUGUUUUCUGCUGUUCGAGUGCUGCACGGAUGGACAAAGCCUUGGCCCUGCGCAUACAAUGUCUUUCCUGAAGGUAUAGUCCUUCUCAACCUUCCUUGGUGUUAUCACAAAGGCUCCUGCACCUUUAGAGUACUGGUGUUUGAGUUGCUCCAUUUAUUGUGGUAUUGUUUAACUGUUAUGAUUAUUUAAUGAUUUAAAAAGUGGAGAAGCAGCUCAAACAGCUCCUCAUUGUGGGUCGGCAUUUUUUUUUUCUUACAGUUUUGACAAUGUACCACAUUCGUAAUGUAUUCAUGUUGGAUUUUUUUGUGUUUCUGUCGCAGGACCUUCUGCACAGAUGGGUGGCUGUCAGUGGCAAUAACGGAGAUCUGCACACCAUACCCUGCGAACCUGGACAGACAUCUCUCCAGACCGAGUCGCAAUAAUGCAGGUCCUGCCAUGAAGACAAGUGCCACAGAGGGAGAGCUGCCUGUCGCCACCUUGAUGAUUUAAUAUUUAGAUUUAUUUUAAUUUCAUGCUGU
This is a long non-coding RNA of Cheilinus undulatus (humphead wrasse), 1286 nucleotides long. RefSeq lists it as uncharacterized. The transcript is spliced from 3 exons. Lineage: Eukaryota; Metazoa; Chordata; Actinopteri; Labriformes; Labridae. The record is from RefSeq and is a predicted model, not a curated record.